This 439-nucleotide ribosomal RNA is filed under the name uncultured bacterium. RNAcentral's name for it is "partial 16S ribosomal RNA". It matches the Rfam family "Bacterial small subunit ribosomal RNA", at positions 338 to 795 of the family's 1533-position model. The record is from RNAcentral.
CCUACGGGUGGCAGCAGUGGGGGAUAUUGCACAAUGGGGGAAACCCUGAUGCAGCAACGCCGCGUGUGGGAAGAAGGUUUUCGGAUUGUAAACCACUGUUCUUGGUGAAGAUAAUGACGGUAACCAAGGAGAAAGCUCCGGCUAACUACGUGCCAGCAGCCGCGGUAAUACGUAGGGAGCAAGCGUUAUCCGGAUUUAUUGGGUUUAAAGGGUGCGUAGGCGGAUCGUUAAGUCAGUGGUCAAAUUGAGGGGCUCAACCCCUUCCCGCCAUUGAAACUGGCGCUCUUGAGUGGAAGAGAAGUAUGCGGAAUGCGUGGUGUAGCGGUGAAAUGCAUAGAUAUCACGCAGAACCCCGAUUGCGAAGGCAGCAUGCCGGCUUCCGACUGACGCUGAAGCACGAAAGCGUGGGGAUCGAACAGGAUUAGAUACCCGGGUAGUC